Molecule: ribosomal RNA, 276 nt
Filed under: uncultured Staphylococcus sp.
Lineage: Bacteria; Bacillati; Bacillota; Bacilli; Caryophanales; Staphylococcaceae
Description: partial 16S ribosomal RNA
Rfam family: Bacterial small subunit ribosomal RNA
Source: RNAcentral
GUGCCAGCAGCCGCGGUAAUACGUAGGUGGCAAGCGUUAUCCGGAAUUAUUGGGUGUAAAGCGCGCGUACGCGGUUUUUUAAGUCUGAUGUGAAAGCCCACGGCUCAACCGUGGAGGGUCGUUGGAAACUGGAAAACUUGAGUGCAGAAGAGGAAAGUGGAAUUCCAUGUGUAGCGGUGAAAUGCGCAGAGAUAUGGAGGAACACCAGUGGCGAAGGCGACUUUCUGGUCUGUAACUGACGCUGAUGUGCGAAAGCGUGGGGAUCAAACAGGAUUA